RNAcentral lists this ribosomal RNA (458 nucleotides) under uncultured bacterium. RNAcentral's name for it is "bacterial SSU rRNA". It matches the Rfam family "Bacterial small subunit ribosomal RNA", at positions 340 to 788 of the family's 1533-position model. The record is from RNAcentral.
UACGGAAGGCAGCAGUGGGGAAUAUUGCACAAUGGGCGAAAGCCUGAUGCAGCUAUGCCGCGUGUAUGAAGAAGGCCUUAGGGUUGUAAAGUACUUUCAUCGGGGAGGAAAAAACAAAACUAAUAAUUUUAUUUCUUGACGUUACCCGAAAAAGAAGCACCGGCUAACUCCGUGCCAGCAGCCGCGGUAAUACGGAGGGUGCUAGCGUUAAUCAGAAUUACUGGGCGUAAAGAGCACGUAGGUGGUUUUUUUAAGUCAGAUGUGAAAUCCCUGGGCUUAACCUGGAACUGCAUUUUGAAACUGAAAUACUAGAGUAUCGUAGAGGGAGGUAGAAUUCUAGGUGUAGCGGUGAAAUGCGUAGAUAUCUGGAGGAAUACCUGUGGCGAAAGCGGCCUCCUAAACGAAUACUGACACUGAGGUGCGAAAGCGUUGGGGAGCAAACAGGGAUUAGAUACCUU